GAAAUGAUAGCUAAUACCGGAUUAAAUAUAGAUUCGUUUCUAUAUUAAAAGGAGCCUUUAAAGCUUCGCUUAAAGAUGGGCCUGCGGCGUAUUAGCUAGUUGGUGAGGUAAUGGCUUACCAAGGCGACGAUGCGUAGCCGAAUUGAGAGGUUGAUCGGCCACAUUGGGACUGAGACACGGCCCAGACUCCUACGGGAGACAGCAGUUAGGAAUAUUCGUCAAUGGGGGAAACCCUGAACGAGCAAUGCCGCGUGAACGAUGAAGGCCCUAUGGGUUGUAAAGUUCUGUUGCAUGGGACGAACGGCUAGGAUAGGAAAUGAUCUUAGUGUGACGGUACCAUGCCAGAAAGCUCCGGCUAACUACGUGCCAGCAGCCGCGGUAAUACGUAGGGAGCGAGCGUUAUCCGGAUUUAUUGGGCGUAAAGGGUGCGUAGGCGGUUUGUUAAGUAUGAGAUUAAAGCCUGAGGCUUAACCUCAGUUCGUUUCAUAAACUGGCAGACUUGAGUAUGGCAGAGGUAAACGGAAUUUCUAGUGUAGCGGUUAAAUGCGUAGAUAUUAGAAGGAACACCAGUGGCGAAGGCGGUUUACUGGGCCAUAACUGACGCUGAGGCACGAAAGCGUGGGGAGCAAAUAGGAUUAGAUACCCUAGUAGUCCACGCCGUAAACGAUGAGUACUAAGUGUUGGG
This 685-nucleotide ribosomal RNA is filed under the name uncultured bacterium. RNAcentral describes it as "bacterial SSU rRNA". It matches the Rfam family "Bacterial small subunit ribosomal RNA", at positions 153 to 827 of the family's 1533-position model. The record is from RNAcentral.